CCGGGGGGAGUAUGGUCGCA
This 20-nucleotide non-coding RNA is filed under the name Arabidopsis thaliana (thale cress). Lineage: Eukaryota; Viridiplantae; Streptophyta; Magnoliopsida; Brassicales; Brassicaceae. The record is from RNAcentral.